GGAAUUUUGGACAAUGGGGGCAACCCUGAUCCAGCAACGCCGCGUGCGGGAAGAAGGCUUUCGGGCUGUAAACCGCUUUCAGUAGGAACGAAACUGACGGUACCUACAGAAGAAGGAGCGGCCAACUAUGUGCCAGCAGCCGCGGUGACACAUAGGCUCCAAGCGUUGUCCGGAUUUAUUGGGCGUAAAGAGCUCGUAGGCGGUUGAGUAAGUCGGGUGUGAAAACUUUGGGCUUAACCCAAAGAUGCCACUCGAUACUGUUCAACUUGAGUUUGGUAGGGGAGUGGGGAAUUCCUUGUGUAGCGGUGAAAUGCGCAGAUAUAAGGAGGAACACCGGUGGCGAAGGCGCCACUCUGGGCCAAUACUGACGCUGAGGAGCGAAAGCGUGGGGAGCAAACAGGAUUAGAUACCCUGGUAGUCCACGCGGUAAACGGUGGUCACUAGGUGUGGGUCUCUUCAAACGAGAUCUGCGCCGUCGCUAACGCAUUAAGUGACCCGCCUGGGGAGUACGGUCGCAAGACUAAAACUCAAAGGAAUUGACGG
RNAcentral lists this ribosomal RNA (543 nucleotides) under uncultured bacterium. RNAcentral describes it as "bacterial SSU rRNA". It matches the Rfam family "Bacterial small subunit ribosomal RNA", at positions 358 to 916 of the family's 1533-position model. The record is from RNAcentral.